GACGAACGUUGGCGGCGUGCUUAAUACAUGCAAGUCAACUGAAGCAGAGGUAGUAAUAUCUCUGUGGAGGUGGCGCACGGGUGAGUAACACGUAGGUAAUCUGCCUUCAGGUCUGACAUAACCCCGAGAAAUCGGGGCUAAUAGCAGAUGAUGCAGCGGCUUGACAUCAAGACAGUUGUUAAAGCUUCGGCGCCUGAAGAUGAGCCUGCGUCUGAUUAGCUAGUUGGCGGAGUAACAGCCCACCAAGGCUACGAUCAGUAGCUGGUCUGAGAGGAUGAUCAGCCACACUGGAACUGAGACACGGUCCAGA
Molecule: ribosomal RNA, 310 nt
Filed under: uncultured bacterium
Lineage: Bacteria
Description: bacterial SSU rRNA
Rfam family: Bacterial small subunit ribosomal RNA
Source: RNAcentral